Macadamia integrifolia is the source of this 829-nucleotide RNA transcript. It is a transcript of the gene named LYR motif-containing protein 4, with no coding region annotated. Lineage: Eukaryota; Viridiplantae; Streptophyta; Magnoliopsida; Proteales; Proteaceae. The transcript is spliced from 3 exons. The record is from RefSeq and is a predicted model, not a curated record.
AAAAUCAGAAAGAAAAAUUGAUACCAAAGAGGGCCGGUGCGCUCUCUCUCUCUCUCUCUCUCUCUCUUUCUCUGUCUGUGUUGCGAUGACGGUUGCGGCUUCAACCCCUUCGAGAGCUGAAACCCUCGCUCUCUUCCGUUCUCUGCUACGAAUCGCUCGAGACUUCUCUGAUUACAACAUCAGAGAAUACACCAAGCGCAGGACUAUUGAUGGGUUUCGUCAGAACCGCGACCUUAAGGAUCCUUCGGCGAUUUGUUCGUCGUUCUCAGAUGGGAAAUCUCAGCUAGAAGUAGCGAAAAGACAGGCCAUCGUCUACUCAUUAUACGCUCCCAAAGUUAAAAGCGUCAUGGAGUUGGAGAAGAUAUGACUUUCUACUGGUCCACAGACCCUAUCUGCCAAAUGGCAGAUCAGGUGGAGCAGGGCCCAUAUAUGACAACUGGGCAAUACAUGUGUGUCCACCUCCAUUCAACUGUUCAGAUCUGUCCAGCUGGUAUGCCAAGCGGUAGAGAAAUAAAGGUGUAGGAACUGCACUCGCCAUCUAUAUUUCCAGACGCUUUAUUUUCAUACCUAUAGGAUGCUAAAAAAGUGGUAAGCAUGGUUGAUGUGCCAUAUGCUGGUGAGCUUUAGAAAGGUCAUGUUUUCUGCUGGAAAAAUUGUUAACAGAACUUGGGAGGAUUCUACCAACAGAUUAAUUGCUUGUGUGUGUAUGUGUGUAUUUAUUUUCUUCUUUUCAUGUUGGUGAAUCUGUGUCUAGGUGGGCUGUGGUUCGUGGGGAUAAUGGUAGUGAUUCUGAUAAAGAUUCUAGGGAAUGUUAUCAUUUUUUCUUGGU